RNAcentral lists this long non-coding RNA (573 nucleotides) under Heterocephalus glaber (naked mole-rat). RNAcentral describes it as "lncRNA (ENSHGLG00000041741.1)". Lineage: Eukaryota; Metazoa; Chordata; Mammalia; Rodentia; Bathyergidae. The record is from RNAcentral.
UAGGGUUGUAGCCUGGGUGGAAUUUAAAGGGAAAGAAGGAAGGUAGGCUUGCUGCUUCCUACGUACCCUGCCGUGAACUGUUUCUCCUCUGCCAUGCCUCCUUGCCUUGGAGCCAGCUGACUAUGGACUGAAACCUCUACCAACUGGAGUUACUUCCUGACAACAGAAGAAACUGGGCCUGGAACCAAGAAAUGCUAGUUCUCCCCAGGAUAGAAAAGGAAUGUGCCUGCCAGCCUUCAGAAGAUUGCCAAGUGAGUGAGACUGUGCCCUCUGCUGAUUACCACUUGGUGCUGUCUCAGCCACUCUUUAACCAAUCAAUAAAGAUCCAGUGGCACAAUCAUGGACAUGAUUUCAAGAGAUGAAUGCAAUCUGUUGGAAUCUCAGCUCUAUCUGCUUUUCUCCCUUGUUUUUAAAGGAAACAUAAUGCAUAUUAUGGGAGGUUAGAAAAUUAAGAUGAAAAUAAAUUUUUGAAUAUUCAUCCCUUUCCUGUAAUGAACUCAACUUUUCCAAAGUGCAAGAAAUCUUAAAACUUUCUUAAAUGCAAGACAACACAUUUUAAAAUGUAAUAACCAC